Sebastes umbrosus (honeycomb rockfish) is the source of this 1434-nucleotide long non-coding RNA. RefSeq lists it as uncharacterized. NCBI's taxonomy places the organism in Eukaryota, Metazoa, Chordata, Actinopteri, Perciformes, Sebastidae. The record is from RefSeq and is a predicted model, not a curated record. The transcript has 4 exons.
AGCUGUAGCUGUUACUGUCUAAAGGUUGGUAAUGUUGUAUUUAAAUAUAGAUGUUAAGGUGUUAGUUUAAGGAAGUAGAGUUGAGUUUCGUUUACCUCGGUUCUGUUUCCUCCGCGGCGGCUGCAGACUGAGUGUGUUGUAUAUGAGUGUGUGUGUGUGUGCGUGUUUCUGCCUCCUCUCAGCAGACGAGCCUUUUCCCAGAAGUCACGUGACUUUAAGGAAGUGAUAAAUGCAGAGUUAAAGUCACCAAGAGGAGGAUGAGGAUGAGGAAGUGGAAGAGGAAGAGGAGCAGCGAUGUCAUUCAGGUCAAGCAGAUAAAGACGGAAGACGCCGCCUCACAGCUGGUACCGUGAAAAGAGACAGAAGAGUAGGUGCAAAGAUCCUCGGCUGCAAUAAACCAGAUUAGUGGCUUGCUAAAGAGCAUCUUGCCAGUGUGGCGAGAGAGAGAGAGGCGGGGGGGGAAGGGGCCAGGAUCCCUGCAGCCCCCAGAGCCGCACAAUCAAAACCAAAUGUAUCUGACCUUGAGAAGUCGAGCGUGGUAAACGUUGUCGUCCUCGCUCUCUCCUCUCUGCGUGUCCACCUGGUACCUCUCAGAGGCCCGGGUCAGCUCGUUGGCCUCGUAGAGGGGAGAGGGGUCCAGAGAGUGGGCGUUUAUCAGACUCACCAGGUACUCCCUGUAGUGCUUCCUGCACAAACACAGACCCUUUGUUAAAGACUACACUUAGAAAUGUGUUAGGGUUAGCAGGCACACUGUCUCCUGACUUUUUUUCGACAUACAUACUAUAACUUCUUUUCCAUAAAAUAUUUCGACAUACGAUACUAUGACUUUUUUUCUUGAAAUUUUUUGACAAACUAUACUAUGACUUUUUUUCCAUAAAAAAUUUCGACAUAGUAUUCAUUGACUUUUUUUCAUAACAUUUUUCGACAUUCUAUACUAUGACUUUUUUUUACAUAAAAUGUUUCGACAUGACUUUUUUUGACAUACUAUAUACAUUUUUAUUUUUUUACCAUACUAUGAGAAUGAGAGAAUGAACUAUUAGAAUAUCUACAGCAGUCAGACACUCACUCGCAGAGUCCAGCUUGUCCCGGCUGUGUUUGGAGGCCACACGGUGAAUCAAUCUGCUGACCUGCUUCAUCUUUCUGCUCCAUCACACAACAAGCUUCUGUGUUACAGAGGAGAGAACAAAGUCAAAUGAUCGGCAAAAUCCACACUUUUAAAGAAAAAAAGAAAAUACAUACUCAUGGAUUUAGAGAUUAAAAUGUUUACUUUCAUGUUAAAUUGUUUUAGAAAAGUUUCUCAAAAACGUUGCCAUCAAAUCUAGAUUUCAACUUUAUGAAUUCAGUUAACUAAAUCUUAUUCAACUUUUCUCUGGAUUCCAGGUUUUUCCAGGAAUUCCAGGAUGUGUUUGAAGCCUGAGGCAAUAAAAGGAAGUA